GACGAACGCUGGCGGCGUGCUUAACACAUGCAAGUCGAACGGUGAAGGGACCGGUUUUUGCUGGUUCUGGAUGAGUGGCGAACGGGUGAGUAACACGUAAGUAACCUCCCCCCUUCUUCUGGAUAACCGCAUGGGAGUGUGGCUAAGACUGGAUAUUCUGCGCCUGCGGCAUGGUGGGGGUGGGUAAGAUGUUGGGUCGGUGGGGGGCGGGCUCUCGGCCUAUCAGCUUGGUGGUGGGUUGAUGGCCUACCGAGGCGGUGUGGGGUAGCCGGGCUGAGCGGGUGGCCGGUCAGAGUGGGACUGAGACCCGGCCCAGACUCAUACGGGGGGCAGCAGCGGGGAAUAGGGAACAGUGGGCGAAAGCGUGCUGCAGCGGCGCGGCGUGAGGGAUGGAGGCCUGCGGGUUGUAAACCUCUUUCGUCAGUGAAGCACGCCUGUCCCUUUUGUGGGUGGGUUGACGGUAGCUGGAGAAGAAGCGCCGGCUAACUACGUG
This 493-nucleotide ribosomal RNA is filed under the name uncultured bacterium. RNAcentral describes it as "partial 16S ribosomal RNA". It matches the Rfam family "Bacterial small subunit ribosomal RNA", at positions 28 to 507 of the family's 1533-position model. The record is from RNAcentral.